AAUGGCAAUGAUGACCAAUGAUAAUCCCAGCUCUAUGAGAUCUUCAUUUGGAAGGUCAAGGACUACAUGUUAUCAAUUUCUAUCUGAGCCGAUA
Non-coding RNA from Populus trichocarpa (black cottonwood), 94 nucleotides. The record is from Rfam. Lineage: Eukaryota; Viridiplantae; Streptophyta; Magnoliopsida; Malpighiales; Salicaceae.